CUAAUGAAGGGAUGACCUCUCACAGGUGCCAAGCAUUUCAAGCUCUUGCCUAGCCCAAAUGCAAUCACUGAACCUAGCUGCAAAGCACCUAGACCCACACCUGAGGCUUGUCUCUACCUCACGAGAUCUCUACAGAGCUAGGGCAGUCACAGCUGAGCCUGGCCACUGCCUUCUCUUGGAGAGAGCCCACCUCCCAGCUUGUCCUCCUGCAGACCAGCCUUUGAAAUCAGACUGGAAGAUGCAGCUGCGUCCCUAAAAUGGCUGCGCUGUGGUAGACUGCAGUCGUGCUGCCUUCUCCCAGCUGAGAACACCCCAAAUAAUGCUGUACUCAGCAAAAGCCUGUGCACCUGGAAUAGCUGUCUCUGAGCAGUUUUUCCUCGCAAAAAUGUGCAGAGUGCUUCACCCUGGAGCUUUUGACUGAAAUGGAGGAUGAAGGGAAUCUGGUGGGUACCAAGGACAAACUCUUUAAGGUUGUAGGAAAUCAGAAUCUGGGGAAGGGAGCACCAGCCAGGGCUGAAUGUGGGGACCCAGAUUUCUCCUAUGGUAAAGGAAGAAAAACUCUGUAGUCUAACUUGCUGCAUGCUCUGUGCUUCUAGAUUUUUGGAAGACCCUCUCUGUGAUCCCUGAAGGUGAUGGCAAUAGAGCUGUCCUGUUGCCCACCUUGGUUGAGAGAUCAUACUGCACGCUGAGAUCCAAGGAGAAGCUAGCAGAGGGAUACAUAACACUCUGAAUUAAUGCAUUAGGUUUCCAAAUAAUUGUGGAUUUCUGCAGUUUGCCAGUGUUGGUUGAUACACCCAGAGAACAGCAUGCCUUUUCUGAGCUGCAGCGGGAGAGGCUUGUUCUGUGGACGUGAUGAUUUGGCAUUCCCCACGGGAUGGUCCACUUGGGGGCAUGUUUGCCAAAAGUCCUGUGAGGUCCUGCUGUAAUUACUAUUAUGGAGAUCAUUUUAGAGUGAAGCAGGUGCUGAGAGGUGACAUUUGAGGCUGGGUGGAGUUGAGAUGCCUGAUUAAUUGCUACAGUUAAUUAAAUCCACCUCUGAAAGCUGAGAGAGGUGGAGGUGCUGGUUGAGGAGACGUGCAAGUGCAACAUUGCAAACUCCUCAGGUGAGCUCCAAAAUGUUGGAGCUUGCUUGAUGCUGGUGUCCUUCUGGAGGCAAAUCUCUCUCCCAAUCUCAAUAGUUACUGGGCCUGGACACUUCAAGGGACUGCAUUAAGCUUCAGAUCUUCAUCCAUGUGAACCCAAGGCAGACUAACAGUAGCUGUAAGAAAGCAAGCUAAGUCAACGGGUGGCUGCUCUUUGCAGCAGCCUCCGUUGUGGCACCCACAUCACAAAACACACUCACUGCUGUCAGUUAUGUGGCUCGGCAGAGCGCCUUGCUGCAGAUGCUGAACAUCUGCGCUCCUCUCCUGCGAGAAAUUCAGCCCUGCAGGUCAGGGCUGGGCUGAGCUGAGGUGGCCUGGCAGCCAAGGUGCCCGUAAAGAGAUCACGUUUUUCAUCAGCUCUGCCAAAAUGAUUCCUUUCACCCUGUGAUCAUUCUCUGAAGUAUUUUUACAGCUACACUUUAGAGAGAUGCAAAUCAGGUGAUUUGCGUGUCUGCAACUAAUGACCUUUGCACUGAAGUCACAGCAGGAGCAGUGCAGAUAACACCAGCUCUGCUGGUGAGCUGAAAGCGGGUCCUUUGGUGGCAGGAGCUCUGGGGUCCUGCCUGCUCUCCCUUGGGCAAGAAAGAGUCCCCUUGGGAUUAGAGCUGGGCUGGGACCCGGGAGGCCAGCCCCCAUUUCCCAGUGCUGCCCCUGGGGUCACUGCUCAGGGAAGCAACCUGCUGGUGCUCCUGGGUCUAAUUCA
Anas platyrhynchos (mallard) is the source of this 1845-nucleotide non-coding RNA. The record is from RefSeq and is a predicted model, not a curated record. NCBI's taxonomy places the organism in Eukaryota, Metazoa, Chordata, Aves, Anseriformes, Anatidae.